This is an RNA transcript of Physeter macrocephalus (sperm whale), 2284 nucleotides long. It is a transcript of the gene named ETV5-related protein Ets96B-like, with no coding region annotated. The record is from RefSeq and is a predicted model, not a curated record. Lineage: Eukaryota; Metazoa; Chordata; Mammalia; Artiodactyla; Physeteridae. The transcript has 5 exons.
GAAUUAAGGCAGCGGUGCUUUGGAAGUGAAGGAAGAGGCGGGAUUUGGGAGCUCUUUCUGAGACAGAACAUGCAGGUCUCAGACACAACAGAUGGGGGACAGAGAGAGAGAAUAAAGUUGGACGUGACCCUGGUGCUUCAGAGCGGAUGGAAUCCUUCUGUGUCAGUCUUAGAAUCGAGGCCUUCUUUCUAACCUGGAAACACUCUGCAGUUUGCACAGUGCCCGCCUCCCAGGGGAAGAUGAAGCCUUGGAAAUACGUUUACAUGGGGGAGUGUUUACAUUAAUCCUUCUUCCUCGCCUGCCUUUAGACCAGGCUCGUGGGAGGUAUCUGGUGGAAAGAACCCAACCUUUAGGAAUUGGGUUUAAGGGACCGAGCUUCUUGUUUUGUCACCAGCAGCACCGGGCAGUCAGAUGACUCUGAGUCUCAGUGUGUCCAUUUGCGAUGGAAGGAGAACCCGCCGCCCCUCCCCCCGCCGCACCAGGAUGUGACGAAGCUCCAUUUUCAUCAUCUGAUAGCAGGAACAGCAUCUGAGGACGGCGGAUGAAUUGCAAACCUGUGCAGCCCCGGCCCCUCUGACACGCAGCUCCUGCUCCAGUUACAGUCUCCGCCCAGCCCUGGCCUGCCUGCCGGGAGCCUUUGAGGCUCUAGCCCACACCGGAAGUCAGCCCCCGGGACCGAGCCUCUGACUUCCAACCAACCACCAAGGCCAAGGGACAGGAGAGGAGCCGGAGGCUGGCCCUCAGAUCUGGGGGUCCUGGGGGAGUACCAAUGUCAGUGGGCCUGGUUGUACAAAUGAGUGGUGUCUCUUCUCUCCGUCCUGGUGUCUUGUUAAGGAGGGAAUAGAGAUGAUGCUGAAUAGUGGUGGUACUUUCCCAGCUCCAGCAUCAGCUCUUUUUCUCCCAAGCAGUUAACUGUCUCACAGCAGACAGGAUCCAGGUGACACUGCUGUCCCUGCGUUCAGCCACAUUCAACCCCAACCAUUCAUCCGUCCGUCUAAUGUCUGUUCAGGGUCUUCUUAGUGCCAGGCACGGUCCAGGCACUGGCUCUUAGCAAGGAACAGAGAAAGGUCCUUGCCUUCAGGGAGCCCCGGUUAAUGGAGAACCCAAAGGAAGAGGUCCACGCGUCUAGCACAGAUCGAAGGGGCUCGGUCAGGGCGAGUCCAGAUCUGAGACCCUCAGUUCCUCUGAGAGACCUGGCGACCUGCUCACCAGGCUUCAGGCAGCCUCCUUCUCUGCCACCAUCUAGCUGGGUGACCCGGGGCCAGUUUCUCCAUGCCCAUCAGUCACCUCAGUCCACCAGAGGAGAUGGUCAUCGGGGGUCCCACCUGCCUCCCAGGAUGGCGGCGAGACUCAGGUGUGUCAAGAGUAUCUGCACACCCCUACUUCACAAUCCCAAUCCCUCUACAAAGAGGAGAGGGAAAGAACUCAACUCCGUCUACAGAGGGGAAGACAGAGGUCCUGAAAGUCACCUAGAGACUCAGCAUCGGCUUUCUCCUUCCCUCCCACCCACCUCCCAUAGGGUCAUAAUCUCUACCACCACCACCACCACCCUCAUCACCAUUUACUAGAUGGAGAAACUGAGGAUCAGAGAAAUUACUAACUUAUCCAGAAUCACACAUCUCCUUUGAGGUGGGAGAGAAGAUGUGAAGCCCAGGCUGUCACUCCCUGCAAAACUGCACGAGCCGUCAAGAGAGAGAAGCAUGAGGGAGGAAAGCUGGUGGGGUGGUCUCUCCUCCAUAACGUGCCACGGAGCCCAGAACACAGUCUGCUGCCGGUGGACGUGGCCGUGCUGCCUGGAGCGAGUGCACGCAGAGAGCCGAGAGCCGGCAGGAAAAACGCUGAAGAACCAGCUGCAGAAGCAGAAGCCUGCGGAGCUUCUUUCCAGGACCUCUUCCUCCAGGCCAGCCUGUUCCACUGGAAAAACAACCUCCCCUGCCUGGGGACUUGGGGCCGGCUGGGCCACCUUCUGGUCUGUCUUCAUUCAGAUCCCAUUUCUCCCCUCCCCGGGAGGUGGGGGAGAGAGUCACACUGGGGAGGGCGAGGGUGAGGCUGAAGUCUUCAUCUGUCCCCCUUUAAGCCAAGCAAAGAAAAAUAGCCCUUUGCCAAGAUCUUUCAUCUCAGUCAUUUACUCUCGCAGAUGUUUUCUGCAAUAUAAACAAGAAGCAAAGAAUGUUGGGGAGGAGAGGAGGGCGGGAGGAGAAGGAAGAGUGAAUCGACAGCUUUGAAAUCUGGGCCUGCGGAGGGCAGGAAACAGACCCUCGGCAGGGUCCCUACUGCCCUCAGA